UACGUAGGGGGCAAGCGUUGUCCGGAUUUAUUGGGCGUAAAGAGCGUGUAGGCGGCCAGAUAGGUCCGUUGUGAAAACUGGAGGCUUAACCUCCAGCUGUCGAUGGAAACCAUCUGGCUAGAGUCCGGAAGAGGAGAGUGGAAUUCCUGGUGUAGCGGUGAAAUGCGUAGAUAUCUGGAGGAACACCGGUGGCGAAGGCGGCAUCCUGGACCGGUAUUGACGCUGAGGCGCGAAAGCCAGGGGAGCAAACGGG
Molecule: ribosomal RNA, 253 nt
Filed under: uncultured bacterium
Lineage: Bacteria
Description: partial 16S ribosomal RNA
Rfam family: Bacterial small subunit ribosomal RNA
Source: RNAcentral